This 92-nucleotide transfer RNA is filed under the name Acidobacteriota bacterium. Its description in RNAcentral is "tRNA-Ser". It matches the Rfam family "tRNA". Rfam says of the family: Transfer RNA (tRNA) molecules are approximately 80 nucleotides in length. Their secondary structure includes four short double-helical elements and three loops (D, anti-codon, and T loops). Further hydrogen bonds mediate the characteristic L-shaped molecular structure. tRNAs have two regions of fundamental functional importance: the anti-codon, which is responsible for specific mRNA codon recognition, and the 3' end, to which the tRNAs corresponding amino acid is attached (by aminoacyl-tRNA synthetases). tRNAs cope with the degeneracy of the genetic code in two manners: having more than one tRNA (with a specific anti-codon) for a particular amino acid; and 'wobble' base-pairing, i.e. permitting non-standard base-pairing at the 3rd anti-codon position. Lineage: Bacteria; Pseudomonadati; Acidobacteriota. The record is from RNAcentral. RNAcentral also lists the same sequence under 4 other names.
GGAGAGAUGGCUGAGUGGCCGAAAGCGGCGGUUUGCUAAACCGUUAUACGGGUAAAACCGUAUCGGGGGUUCGAAUCCCCCUCUCUCCGCCA